Molecule: unclassified non-coding RNA, 323 nt
Filed under: soil metagenome
Description: partial contains 5.8S ribosomal RNA, internal transcribed spacer 2, and large subunit ribosomal RNA
Rfam family: 5.8S ribosomal RNA (bases 1-120)
Source: RNAcentral
GAUGAAGAACGUAGUGAAAUGCGAUAAGUAGUGUGAAUUGCAGAAUUCAGUGAAUCAUCGAAUCUUUGAACGCACAUUGCGCCCCUUGGUAUUCCAUGGGGCAUGCCUGUUCGAGCGUCAUUUGUACCUUCAAGCUUUGCUUGGUGUUGGGUGUUUGUCCCGAGGGACUCGCCUUAAAGUAAUUGGCAGCCAGUGUUUGGUUUUGAAGCGCAGCACAAGUCGCGAUUCAAGGCUACACGCCCGCUUCCACAAGCCUUUUUUCACUUUUGACCUCGGAUCAGGUAGGGAUACCCGCUGAACUUAAGCAUAUCAAUAAGCGGAGA